Molecule: ribosomal RNA, 254 nt
Filed under: uncultured prokaryote
Description: partial 16S ribosomal RNA
Rfam family: Bacterial small subunit ribosomal RNA
Source: RNAcentral
UACGGGGGAUGCAAGCGUUAUCCGGAAUUAUUGGGCGUAAAGUGUCUUAAGGUUGUUAAAAAAGUCCUAAUAUAAAUUUUUCUUAAACGAAUAAACUAAUUUAGGAGACUUUUUAACUAGAGAGAUAUUAAAGGUAGAAGGAACUCCCAAUGUAGCGGUUAAAUGUUUUGAUAUUGGGCGGAACACUAGAUGCGAAAGCUUUCUUACUAGAUUUUCUCUGACAUUGAUAGACGAAAGCUAAGGGAGCAAAUGGG